Molecule: ribosomal RNA, 484 nt
Filed under: uncultured bacterium
Lineage: Bacteria
Description: partial 16S ribosomal RNA
Rfam family: Bacterial small subunit ribosomal RNA
Source: RNAcentral
AUUGAACGCUGGCGGCAUGCCUUACACAUGCAAGUCGAACGGUAACAGGCCGCUUGCUCCUGACUUCUGCGGAGCGGGGGUGUAAUAUGCCUGAGCGUGUGCAGUCUAGGGGGAUAUCACGUCGGGAGAGGGGCGCUAAUCCCACACGCGCUCUGGGGGAGAGCGUGGGGGAUCAUCGGCUCGCACGCUUUGAGCUGCCCCUAGGUCGGAUUAGCUAGUUGGUGGGGUAAAGGCCCACCAAGGCGACGAUCUGUAACUGGUCUGAGAGGAUGAUCAGCCACACUGGAACUGAGACACGGUCCAGACUCCUACGGGAGGCAGCAGUGGGGAAUUUUGGACAAUGGGCGAAAGCCUGAUCCAGCCAUGCCGCGUGUGGGAAGAAGGUCUUCGGAUUGUAAACUGCUUUAAGUUGGGAGGAAGCGCAGUUAGUUAAUACCUUGCGGUAAUGACGGUACCGACAGAAUAAGCACCGGCUAACUACGUG